CCUGGACCCUGCCCGACUCUUUCCCAGAAGAAAUACUUAACCAAUGGGGUUAGAGGGAGAGGAGGGCACCGCAUUCCCAGGGGGUCAGCAGGGAAGUGACCAAAGGCUCAAAACCUGCCUUGAAGGCUGGCUACGGUGGUGUGAAACAAGGAGACAUGGCAGGAGGAACCCAGAGGCAAGGAGAAGGAGGGAUACGCACCCAGGCACUGAUCCUGUCUGUUGAGAUAACCCAGCUGGUGUCCAGAAGAAUGGAGAGCAGCUUCAUGCAGGAGACCAGAGAGGUGUGGUGGUGGUGGUGGUGGUGGUGGUCAGGCUGCUGGCAGGGCAGGCAUUGGGAUGAGUCACCUGGCCCACUCACAGCAGCACCAGCGCUGGCUGAGGGGCUGUCGCAUGCAUGGGGCCUCCUGCCAUCCUCCUCUGUCUGCUGGAAAAGCACAGAUGGAAGUGGAAGAAGGAUUAGGACCUUUCUGCCGAGCACCUCUAGCAGCUUUACCUGAGCUGUUUUUCGCUUUCACUAUGACUUGUGCAGUUAAAAGAAAUGAAGAGGAGGAAGAGAAAUGCUGGACGAGCUCCAGAUAUGGGUUAAUAUUUCCUCUAGGAUGGGAGUGGUGAGGCAGACUCUGUGCUGGGGAUGAAAUGACGGGCUCAGGCAGCUGGAAUCGAUGGGGCAGCAGAGAGAGAAGCAACCUGGAACCUGGUCCUGCCAUGUGUGGGAUGAAGUCCCCAGGGGUGAAGACUCAGGUGUAGCCCAGUGCUGAUACAUGGGCAUGGCUUCAUUCCAUUUCACCUUGUGCUGCCUCACUUCUAGAGGUCACAAGUGGCCCAAUCUGAAUAAUAAUUGACAGGUGCAGGUGAAAGACCAGGAGAACUAUGCCUGCAGCUAUGCAUUUGUACAUUCAGCCUUUCAUUCCUUUCCUUGCUUUGGUAACUAUUAUCAAUGGGGUUGUUAGCCCUGGAUUCUUCCAUCCCAGCAGCUUUCGGGCAUGCUGAAAGGAGCUCAAAGCAAAGCAACAAAGAUGUAAAGCUAUUAGCAUGUCCAGAGGAGGGCUACAAAGAUGGAGAAGUGUCUGGAGAGCAAGGUGUGUGAGGAGCAGCAGUCCCUGGGUUUGCUCAGCCCAAAGCAGGGGAGCUGAGGAGAGGCCCCAUGGCGGCUGCAGCUCCUCACAGGGAGUGGAGGUGCUGAGCUCUGCUCUGUGUGACAGUGACAGGGCCUGAGGGAAGUGGAUGGAGCUGUGUCAGGGGAGGGACAGCUGGGGGUGAGGGACAGGCUCUGCAUCAGAGGGUUGUGAGCAUGGAACAGCCUAUGCAGAGCAUGGCCCUGAGUUGCUGGAGUUCAAGGAGUGUUGGGACAGUGCUCUCAGAUUUAGGAUUUGGGUUUGGGUGGUCCUAUGUGGAGCCAGGGGUUGGAGUCAGCAAUCCUUAUCAGUCCAUUCCAACUUCUACGAUAUUCUAUGAUUCUACGAACAUUCUGGUGUCUGGAAGGCUUUAAUGAUAUUGAACAAUGCAGGGCAGGCUGGUGGCAGGAUGCCUUUGUUUGGGACAAAACAUAGCAGGAAAUCCUGCCUGGAAUCCCCCUCAUCUACACAGUCCAGCACUGAGCUUCUCAUCUGAGCCAUAUUUCACACAGAGGCAGCCUUGUCAGGCUGGGGAAGGUUGCAGUAAGCAGCACUUCUGCACUUGGCAGAGCAACAACGGGGACAAAGGGAAAGUGCUCUUUAAUCAACACGUGACAAGGUGUGGAAAGCCCCUUCUUACACAAAGUCCAAAUAAACAUAUUUCUGUUCAGGUUGGUCAUCUCCUCUGCCAGACAUUUACAGGAUAUUUCUUUGCACAGGCAGGUUGGCUCUGGCUGGGGUCCUAUGCCACCAACUCACAGACCCUGCUUGUGGGAUCAGACCCUCUUGGGAGCUACCAGCUCUUCCAAACCAAAGCCAGCAGCAGGACCUCCCAGGCUGCUGAUAAACACAGCCUGUGGAUCCCAACACCCUGUAGUUUAGGUUACCUCAGUCCCCACCAGAUGCUGACUACAAGGCAGCAGAAAUUCAUGAGUCUGCCAUGGAAGUUCAUGAGAAUUUAAAAAUUUAUUGUGCCCCAGAGUUAUUUACCAUUUUACUUCGAUUUUGCUAAAGGGUCCUAACCCUCCAGCUAUCUGUGAGAGGUUAUUUUCUUUAAAAAGGAAACCUGAAGGUCUCCUUGUUCCAGCAGGGGACUUUAAAGGGAAAAAAGCACCAACUGUCAUGAAGUUCCAAAAAAUAGUGAAGCUGGGUAACGGUUUAAUACAUGUAAUCCUUCCUGCUCUCUAUUGUCCCUGUAGAGUGAAGCCUUCAAGAAAUCCUUCUUGUUUACAAGCCACCAGUAGCAGCUCUUCGUUAUCGGGAGCAUGUUUUCUGGGCAGAACCAAGGUGUCACUGUUGAGCAUUCAGAGGACUUUGUGCUAAAAACCUUGUGGUCCUUAGUUCAGUGGGCAGCACGUAGACACCACCUUAUCCCCAGUGAGCUGUGGGACAUCUCAGCCAGUCCAUGAGGCUCUUCCUAAAUAAACCCUUUUUGAACUAAGAAAGAAAAGCAAAUCCUGCAGGAAAUGCCCUGUUCUUUUCCCCAACAGUGCCUAGGGCUAUCUCUGGCUCAGUCUUUGCUGAUCCAUCUCCUGGUACAGCAGCAGUCAUGAAGCACUGUGGCUGUGCCAGCCUUCACACUGAGCCGGCACGCUCGGUUCUGUUGUGCAGACCUGCCAUCAACAGGAACACAUGUUCCUGAAAAGAUCUUGCCAUCUGGAGGAAGCACUGGGAAAUUACCUUCCACCAAGCAGCACCAGCCUCAUUUCCUUCUCGGCCUCCCGGCACAGUCGUGAGAACAAAUGAAUCACCAGCACAACCUGGGGGCUUACAGCAGGCUGGUAGACAAGACGAGGCUGGGACCUUCCCACCAGGAAACUCAGCCAGGGAGGAGAAAACAGAAAAGAUGGAAAAAGAUGGAUUGGGAAUUAAGAGACAACCUGACAAAUCCAGGUGACAGUACAAAUACUGCAGGACUGUGGUCAGGGAUUCUAUGGCAAGCACCUGCUGCAAUCCAGUAGCCAAUUCUUGCAAGCUAUAAUCAAUGAGAGAUUUGCAGCUUGGCUUUAAUGGAAAGCCAAGCUCAUUCUUAGCUCCUUCACUACAAGAACUUGACUUUUUUUUUCCUUUUAUGUGUCUCCUAAUUCAUAACACAGUGGUGUCAGUGUUUUCACUCUAUCUUACUAAGAUAAGACUGAUUAGGGAUAGAUUUUAAUGGCAAGGAGGUACUAGUGUCCAGAUGCCAGGCUGACAGGGAUACAGACAUGGUAGGGGAGAUGUAGGCAUGAUAUACAGAUCUGAGAGUGAUGUACAAACUCUGUGUCCCUAAAUACCUGCAUAUUUCUGCAAAUGUUGGCAGAGGGUGGGAGCCAGCCCAAGACUAGGGCAGAACGAAGGUUCUUUGUGCACAUUCUGAAGGGCUUUGUACACAUAGCCUGAGCUUCCACUUCACAGGCUUUCAAACACUUAUGGCUUUCCCCUCACAAAACAUGGUGCCAUUGCAAAAAGUGACAACCCAGCUGCCCCGGGGGUUUCCAUGGUGACCCAGCCUCAUUCCCCAUCUGAUUUGUUCAGUUUAGAGAAGAGUGAUUUUUCUUUUUUCCUUCUCACAGCGAAUCGACCCUCAAGCCCAAUCCAUUUCUCCUCAGUUCCCAUGGCCGUGGUGUGUGCUCAUGAAUCCCUGUUCCCCCUGCAUUCACAUGCUCAUGCCUUGGCUGUGCUGCCCCAUCCCAGAGUCAGCCCAUGCCAAGUGGGUCAGUCCCUGACAGCUCAUUCUUGGGGCCUGGUCCAGAGCUGAGGAGAUUCUCCUGGAGAUAUCUGAUCUCAAAAAUGAUUGCUGCUAACAUCAAUUCCUUUUCCAUCUAUAUCAUUGUGAGUUUUUUCAUGUGGCAAUGUGUCAGAACAUCCAAGAACACUGACCAAUUGAAGCUGUUGAGCUUUGAAUCCUGCAGUGUCCACAUGGCUUUUGCUACAAGUUCUGCAAAGUUACUGGUUCAUAAAGAUAACUUUAACCAGAACUGGAGAAGAUUAGGAUCUGGAAAAGCGUCUGGGCAGUGGCUUAGGUGCUCCUGCUUCCAUGUGCAUGGGGAGACCCCUCUGGGGUGCCUCAGAACCACUUUGCUCCGGUACCAUGGCUGAAGCAGAAGCACUAUGUCCCUGCUUCCUCUUCCUCCUCUUCCUCUUUUGAAGUGUGAAGUUAUUCAGGAGAGAAAGUACAAGGACUCACCCCACCAGUUUGUUCACAGAGCUUGAAAUAAAUAAACCCCAAACCCAAUGAGGGAACUGUGGUAAGCACCAGGGCUUGCAGUGAGCCCCAGGUGUGAGCAGCAAUGCUGCCAUAGAAAAGACAAACACAGGCAAUGUGCAAUCGUAAAAGAAAACAGAGAGCAUAAUUUAAGCGAGUUCUGCACUAAUAAUGAAGAAAAAUCUGGCAGGUGCUUGGAAGUUGCAUUUCUGCAAAGCAAGGAAAUACUGCCUGGAGGGAGGUACUGCUGCCCAGGAGAUGGGUGUGUGAUGGGGCCUGCACAGAUAUGAAAAGGACUCAGCAAGUAUCACAUCUCAAAUGCUGUGUGGAACGAAUAAAUGAGUUCUCAUUUCAUCACAGAAGGGAGGGCGUGGAGGAUUUUCCAUGAGAGCUCCCACUGCAGAAACCCAUCCUCAGAGCUUUAGCAGGAUAAAAAAAAAAGGUUUCCUUCCUCUUCUGGAGAAGAUCUGAAAUUGGCCGGCGAGAGCAAGACUUUGUUUUUCUUCUUUAUUGAUAUCAUCAAGAAGUCCAGGACUUUUCUCAAUGAGUGAGGCACGAGCAGGGCUGCGGGGCACUGGGGCUCCCAUCAGGCAACAACUGCAUGUUUCUGGCUUUUGGGGACUGUCAGCCAGUUCAUCAGGAAAAUAUCAUGGUGAGAGCCCCAGGGAACUGUCCAGUCCCAGCUGGUGGUGGCCAUCAGCAUGCAAGGACAGCCCAUGACCCUUGGAGCAGUCUCUGAAUCGUAGUGCCACAGCCUGUGGCCUCCAGCAUGGAGAUGCCUUCUUCCCCGACAGGAUGCCCUCAUCCGUUUCAUCAUGGGAGCUGCCAAAGCACAUCUAAGAGCAGAGCACUUUGUUCAUGGCAGCAACUGCGGAUUAGCAACUGUUAUGCUUCCCUUUGCAAUUCACCCUAGGCUGUGCAAAAAUAUUGGUUUGAUGCCAAUAGGAAAAGCUGUGGCUUCUGUGUAUGGAGCCCGGUCCUUUGGCAUGGGGCAGACGUCCAGCUCUGUCAUAAUGCUUGGCUCCAGAGAGCUUCUCCAUUGGGUUAAGCACAGGCUGAGCACUCUCUGUAAGCUGGAGCAAAGCUGUGCUCAGCAAUUCAGAGUUAGAGUGUUCCAUUACUUAAUUUGAGUGGCUAACAAUAUAUCACUUCUGGGUCACGGGCACCUACUACUGUGUCUGUCACUGAAGCCAGGUUUUGGGUUUUGCAAAAGCAUCAUAAAGGACAAGGGCCUUGUCCUCCAUUGCAGAGGUUUGCUUCACUGCACCAGCAUCUCCAGCCCACUGUACUCAAACGCUUCACCAAAGCCAAGUUAAUUGUAGAAUAUCCCAAGUUGGAAGGGACACAAGGAUCAUCAAGUCCUACUCCUGGCUCCUCAGGACCACCCAAAAAUCAGACCAUAUGUUUGAGAGUCUUGUCCCAAUGCCCCUUGAAGUCCAGCAGCUCGAGGCCAUGCCCACUGCCCUGGGGAGACUGUUCCAAGCCCACUGAGCUCUGGUAAAGAACCUUUUCCUGAUAUCUAACUUGAGUUAAUAUUUAUUUGUGUUCUAUGCCGUGCUGUGUUAUGGGGGUUGUAGCAUGGCUCUGUAGUUUUUUGCUUUGUGUGAAAACAGAGAAAUGAAGAGAUUAGCCAGCGCCCAUUCCUGGGCUCAGACUGUUGCUGCACAGCUGCAGGAUAUUCUCAAGCACAGGAGCUUUGAGAAAUACCAACAAAGCUUUAAAGUGGCCUUAAAAGAAACAUCUUUUGGUUUGGUUUGGUUUGGUUUGGUUUGGUUUGAUAGAGUAAGAAGAAAGGGACAUGCUGGUUCUUAAUUGCACGAUGCUACAAGCUAGUAGAUUUCUCCCAGUGCCAAAGGGUGCAGGUAUCACCCCUCCAUGUUGCCCAUGCCAAUGGGAACUAUGAUGCCCAGCAUGCCCACAGCUCUGCACUGUGCCUCCUCUGUACUCAGCUCUGGUGAGGCCACUUCUUAAGUACUGUAUUCAGUUUUGGGCUCCUCACUACAAGAUAGAUAUUGAAGCCCUGAAGCGUGUCCAGAAAAGGGUGACGAAGCUGUGAGGGGUCUGGAUGUCUAUUCCCAGGGGUGAACCUCUGGAAAGCUGUACUUUCCUUAACUUGAUGCCUGGGGAAACCUGAGAACUAGCGCUUUAUUUAAAUAUAUAUUUCUGUACCUUUUUUUUUUUUUAAAUAAGUGUUUUUGAAGUUUCAUUGAAGAUGUUGUCACUGGAAUCAUUAUAUUUCUAUAGAGAUUAUAAUGACUCCUUUUGAAGAGUUAGUCUCAGUCAGUCAGUGCUUAAUUCACAUAUCAAUGACUUCAUAAACCCUAAAUCCACAACUCUUCUGAAACUGUACUCAUCUGCUGUACCAGUGAGUGCCUGCUUCUUAGUGCCAGAUUGUUUCUCUAUAGGCCAUCCCAGCAGCAGUGGAGCCUUGGCCAUGCGAGGCAGCGCCAUGCAGGUUUUACAAGCCAGUGUUCUGGUGCUGGCAGAGUGAGAGGAUUAAAGCACAUCAUCAUUUUCAUUUUACUCUCUGAAUCAUGUCAGUGAGAAACCAUCUAUUGCUGGAUCUAAAACUCACUCUGCCCCUGCCCUGGAAACCUUACAGGAAAAGGAAUGAAUGAUGGCACAGCCUGAAUACCCAGCUUUCCUCUUUGAUUAGCUGGAAGCAGAAGAGUCCAGUGUUUUCAGAGGCAGGACAGGGGAGGGUGGAGGUCCCUGUGUCCUGCCAGCUCAGAGCAGACUUUGUUGCCUUGCUCGUGCUCAGAAGCAUAGCUUGGAUCAAUCUGUGCCCCUCACUGCUGGAAUGAAGCCAAGUGCUGCAGCUGCCCUGCGCCCUGCAACUCACAGACAACUCAUCCAUGUGCUUUGUGCACCACCAAACAUGUUCUGCAUGAGUCUGAGCAACCUGUUUCAGCCUGUUCUCCCUCCUACCUGCGACCAAGCCAAGCUCUUGUAUCCAGAGAGCUGAAGAUCUGUUGGAAAGCUGAGCAUUAGUUGGAAAUUGGACAACAGAUGAUGCUCUCAAUGCUGUGCCCUCAUCACUUGUGCCACUGCUGAGUUGCCUGAGGAGCAGUACUCACCAAGGCUGACUGGAGCCAUGUCCUUCAUAUGAUAGAGCCAGGAACAACGCUUGGAGACAUCCUCAGCUUUGCAAAGCAACCCUAUGUCCUCUGGGCAAGAGGGAUGGGAAUGCAGCUCCAGGGCUCCUACUCAGCAAUCCCUGUUGGUACCCAACAGGACUGGUGCUGCAGCCACAAACCGCUCUGUUUGCAGCAGUGCUUGUGUUGCUGCAAGUCCCAGGAAAGCUCCAGCACUUGGCUGAGCCCCAGGGACAAGGUCCCUGUAUGGGAACAUGGAACCCUCACUGCUCCUUGAUAAAGUCAGCACUGAGUGGGCUUCCCUCUGAUGCCGCUGGGAAAGAAAGGGAAAACAAAACAAAGCAGUGUUGAACUCAGCAGAUGGAGGGAGCUGAGCUUUCUGACUGUUUCUAUGGAGCCCCUCCUAGCACUGGCUUGGUGUGGGUCUGAGCUCCAUCCCUUCCCAGAGGGGUGCCUCUUCCCAUCCCCCUGUAGGACCCACUGUUCUGAUAAUAGGUUGGUGCCACACCACCAGGCAGCCUGCUUAUCUGGCUACCCAGCAAACGAUUUG
Tympanuchus pallidicinctus (lesser prairie-chicken) is the source of this 7944-nucleotide long non-coding RNA. RefSeq lists it as uncharacterized. The record is from RefSeq and is a predicted model, not a curated record. Lineage: Eukaryota; Metazoa; Chordata; Aves; Galliformes; Phasianidae. The transcript has 3 exons.